Molecule: ribosomal RNA, 485 nt
Filed under: uncultured bacterium
Lineage: Bacteria
Description: bacterial SSU rRNA
Rfam family: Bacterial small subunit ribosomal RNA
Source: RNAcentral
GAUGAACGCUGGCGGCGUGCUUAACACAUGCAAGUCGAACGAAGCAUUCUAACGGAACAUUUUCGGAUGGGAAGUUAAAAUGACUGAGUGGCGGACGGGUGAGUAACGCGUGGAUAACCUACCAUAUACAGGGGGACAACAGUUGGAAACGACUGCUAAUACCGCAUAAGCGCACAGUGCCGCAUGGCACGGUGUGAAAAACUCCGGUGGUAUAUGAUGGAUCCGCGUCUGAUUAGCUAGUUGGUGAGGUAAUGGCCCACCAAGGCAACGAUCAGUAGCCGACCUGAGAGGGUGACCGGCCACAUUGGGACUGAGACACGGCCCAAACUCCUACGGGAGGCAGCAGUGGGGAAUAUUGCACAAUGGGCGAAAGCCUGAUGCAGCGACGCCGCGUGAGCGAAGAGUAUUCGGUAUGUAAAGCUCUAUCAGCAAGGGAAGAAAAUGACGGUACCUGACUAAGAAGCCCCGGCUAACUACGUGCCAGC